Molecule: long non-coding RNA, 202 nt
Filed under: Solanum tuberosum (potato)
Lineage: Eukaryota; Viridiplantae; Streptophyta; Magnoliopsida; Solanales; Solanaceae
Description: long non-coding RNA (STUB_LNC001170)
Source: RNAcentral
GCGGUGUUAAACUAUCUUCUCAAAGCAACCCUGAACAUCCAUGGAGAAAGGGAAUGUCGACUCUGUGCCGAGCAGAUAGAUUUGACAAAUUAGCAAUUGACGCCUUGCAGUGUUGGCUAUGAGGUUCAUAUAUUUUUCCUAUAUUCUCUUAGAAUGUUCCUCGAAUUCCUUUAUCAAAAACGUAUAUACUGGAAUCCUUNNN